Saccostrea echinata is the source of this 470-nucleotide long non-coding RNA. RefSeq lists it as uncharacterized. The transcript has 4 exons. NCBI's taxonomy places the organism in Eukaryota, Metazoa, Mollusca, Bivalvia, Ostreida, Ostreidae. The record is from RefSeq and is a predicted model, not a curated record.
GUACUCGAUUUGCACAGCGCCGGCAUAUAAUCAUCAAGUUUGAUGAAAUGUCCUAAUAUGUAGAUGUAGAUGCUAAGUCAUUCAGUCACCUAGCUUGUGAGAAUGGAAUGCUCACAAAAAGGACAAGAGCGAGAGAGCUGUAUGGAAAUUUACACAAAGGGUCAGUUAACGGAGUAAGCUGAUAUGGAGGAUAAUAUAUCAAAGGCAGCAUAGGCGUCCAAACUCCUGUUCAAGGUGCUUUUAAUCAGAAGCUUAAGAGACAAAAGACGAGCCAUUGACAAGGCAAAACUGAAUGUUUUAUAUGAAAUUGAGCAAGAAAAGUUUGAAGUGUCUUUGGGAAUGAUCAACAUCAAACUUGCUGAGCUUUUGAAGCCGUCGUACCAAAAGUGAAUCCAUUCGUGACACCAAUUAUCUGACCACCCUCUAACAGAACCAGUGAGGAAGUGAUUCUAGCCAAUACUUCAGAAGUU